RNAcentral lists this long non-coding RNA (525 nucleotides) under Fukomys damarensis (Damara mole-rat). RNAcentral's name for it is "lncRNA (ENSFDAG00000033633.1)". Lineage: Eukaryota; Metazoa; Chordata; Mammalia; Rodentia; Bathyergidae. The record is from RNAcentral.
UGAUUACUUGGCGGCUGUAAAGGCAAUGUUACUGAGUCUUGUCUUUCCUCCUCAGCCUGCUCCCACAAGUAGUGGGUAGCUAAAGCCAAGAUGACAAAGGAGAAGCUUAGCGGCCACUGAGACUUCACCAAGCCAGGGAUCUGGAAGAUGAAAAGGCAGGCAGGAGGUAUCCUCAGAAGUUCUUGCAAUCAGCAUUGCCUUUUAAACAUCAGAUGACUGCUGCCUUUGCUGUGACCUCUACGUAAUAUGGAUUACAGGGUAAUUUAUGAAAUGAAGCAUUUCAACCGCAAUACAGUAAUUAUCCAGAGGAAAGACGCUGUUCCUAUCACACGUUCAUCUCCCACGCGGAAGUGCACACACCACGAAGGAGACAUUGCUAAUGUAUUGUGGCCCUCUCAUAUCAAACCUGAUCUUCUUAUGCAAAUUGUCCAUGUAGCACUCUAAGCAGCAACUGCCUAAGAUUCAAAGGAAAGACGUGGUUUCAGAUACUGAGAUGAAUUAAUAGCCUGGAUAUCUCAGAGGCCU